Molecule: ribosomal RNA, 372 nt
Filed under: Triticum aestivum (bread wheat)
Lineage: Eukaryota; Viridiplantae; Streptophyta; Magnoliopsida; Poales; Poaceae
Description: partial small subunit ribosomal RNA
Source: RNAcentral
AUGGCGGCUUCUCAACCCAACAAACCAACAAUGAAGGAGGAUGGCGAAGAUGAGAUGGCGGGAUGGUGGGAGAAGGCUGUGAAGAAGCUGAGAGAGGAGGAUGCAGCCGCACUAAAGAAGAAGAAGAAGGAAGAGGAGCUCGAAGAGAAGAGGAAGGAAAGAGAGAGAGUAGAUUAUGAGUGUUGCGCUAGGGAGCAUGCGUUGAAGAGAAAAUGUGAGGAGGCACAGAAGAAGCGUCUCAAGGAUUUUCAAGAAAGAACCUUGAAACUUUGGGCAUUCGAAGUAGAAAAAAAAGAGAACAAGAUAUUCAUGGAGAGGGUGGUUAAGGAGGUUCACUGCAUAAGGAAAAGGAAGGAGGAAGAGGAAGAAUAA